Molecule: small nucleolar RNA, 61 nt
Organism: Echinops telfairi (small Madagascar hedgehog)
Lineage: Eukaryota; Metazoa; Chordata; Mammalia; Afrosoricida; Tenrecidae
Source: Ensembl
GUGCAUGUGAUGAAGCAAAUCAGUAUGAAUAGUCAUGAUACUGUAAACGCUUUCUGAUGUA